RNAcentral lists this long non-coding RNA (955 nucleotides) under Phascolarctos cinereus (koala). RNAcentral's name for it is "lncRNA (ENSPCIG00000026037.2)". The record is from RNAcentral. Lineage: Eukaryota; Metazoa; Chordata; Mammalia; Diprotodontia; Phascolarctidae.
AAAAGGAAUGCUUUCCAUAAGGGUUGUUUCAUUUCAUGGACAUGGCAAUCAAUCAAUCAACCAAGAAGCAAACAUUUAUUAAGCACCAGCUAUGUAAAAGACACUGAGCUAAGCACCGGAGAUACAAAGAAAGGGGUAAGCCAGUCCCCAGCUCCCCGGGAGUUCACAGUUUAAUGGGGGAGACAGCAUGCAAACCAUUAUGGACAAACAAGACAUUUCCAUAAACUGGAGGUGAUGAACACAGGGAAGGCACUGGCAUUAAGGGGGACCAUGAAAGUGGGAAUUUUAUCUGGUGCUUGAGGGAAGCCAGGAAUAAGGAUAUACAGGUAUUUCAUACCCCUUCAGACGCAUGCUCCGCCUCAGCACUGAGGUCAAUAAGCCAGCAUCCCUCUUUUGAUUAAAGCCUAGACAAACCUACUAAAGGUAGAAGCAAGUAUUAUUCUGAAAGGGCUGUGGGCCAUCUGAUGACAGAAAAGGUUAAGCCACAGUGUCCACGUUGGUUCCUGCCAUCCCACAGUUGUGUCACCGCUAUGAAAUGCCAUCAUUUUAGACUUGGUGAGAUCUUGAAAAGCAGCUGCAGUCUUCCAUCCCUUCCAAGCACCCUCACAGAAGAGAAGAGAGAGUGCCCAAGCAUCGUCAUGAAUGGGCUGCAUUAAGGUAGAGACUAUGGAAGUAGUUACAGUAAUAAGAGCAGCAGCAGAAAGGUCACAAGGGAAAGAGGAGCCAGCACAGAGAGAACCCAGCAGAAGGUUGCAUUUGGAUGUUUGACUGGCCAAUGACAUGUAAAAUGCCUAAUUAGCAGUUUUUCAAGCACUAUUUAUAUUCCAAGGCUUAAGUUUUGACCUCCCAACUGAUUAUACUAGUAGGAAUGUUAUAUGAAUUGGAUUCUAAUCACCUGUCAUAUGUGCUGAGACCUCAUUUCUGUGUGGAAAUAAAAGGACUUCUUCUAUACCUA